This is an RNA transcript of Momordica charantia (bitter melon), 3202 nucleotides long. RefSeq lists it as uncharacterized. The record is from RefSeq and is a predicted model, not a curated record. NCBI's taxonomy places the organism in Eukaryota, Viridiplantae, Streptophyta, Magnoliopsida, Cucurbitales, Cucurbitaceae.
CAGAACUCCCACAAGCUACUUGUCGAUGAACAAUAUUGGAGUUGUGUGUGAGAGCUCGAAAGCAUUUCAAUUCAAAACAAACGACUUCCAUCAUCUCCCUCCUUCCAUCUCUCUCUCUCAUCCGCCAUGGAUAAACCAAACCAGUAUUUAAUUGUACAAUUUGAAAGUCUCACUCUCUAAUCAUAAUCUCAAAUCUCAGAUCUGUCGAGUUACUCGUGACAGUUCAUUUCUCCUAUUUCUUGUGAUUUCCUUUGUCCUACCGAAUUGGGCAAAAUCAAAUGAGCUUCUGCUAUUUGUUUCUCGAGUAAGAGGAGCGCCGGAUUACUGGGAUUGGAUGAAUGAAUAUGUGAAUGGCUCAGCAUAGGCAGUAUGGGACGGAUAGAUAUGGACCACGGGCACAUGACACGCUCCAUUCAACCAACAAUGGCGUUGCCGAUCACGUUGCGGUGGGAAUUCGUGGUGCGCCGCAUAAGCAGGGUAGGGCUCGUAGGUCGGCUCGCUCCGAUAAGGGCAUAGGGAUCUCCGUUGGGGCGAUUAUAUUUGUUCUCUCGCUUGUUCUUGGCGUCACCGUCUUAGCUUAUUACUAUUUAUCGAGAGACACCAAAGAAAUUAGUAAUCACAACGUCGAAGAUGAUGACUUCAAGAAUGAUCCUGAUUUCCUUUCAAAUGUUACUCGAACAGAGACAACCAAAGUCAGGUUCGGUAAAGGUUUAGUUGUGCAUGGGCGUGAUUCGAGGUAUUGGGAUGGGGAUGAUAGGAGAAGGGACGAAGAUUACAACGAGGAUGCAGUGAAACACGUGGCUACUACCGAUAAGGUUACUGAAAAGGGUGAUGUUCCGGCAAAAUUGAGUGAGGGCCAUGGUGUAUCAUCUAUUGAACAUUCUCAUAACAGUUUAGAUAGGAAAGACAUUGGACUAUAUAAUGAAGCUGGGCGAAAGGAGUUGAGGAAGUAUGAAGCUGAAUAUGAGGCUUCAAUGAACACUUCAGGUCAAUUGGGAAAAGAAGGAAAUGAAGAUGACCAGGUAGCUGACGAAGAUGAUCUGGAAAAUUGGAAUGACGGUAUUGAUACAGAUGAUGAAUAUGGAAAUGGAAGUGAUAGUCAACAUCCUAUUAUGGAAGAAGACAAUGAUACAGAACGUGAGAAAGGGGACCAUUCUGAUGCAACAAGUUUGACACAGGAAGAUUCUGAGAAAUCAUUUAAUGUUGUUGAGACAGGAAAAUCCCACAAUGAUGACCAUGGUCAAUUCCUUAAUGUACUUGAUGGAGAAACCAAUUAUCAGCAUGAUGAUGAGAAUGUUGGGGCUUCCAACCAUUCAUUUGACGAGGAUUAUACGUCAAGUUCCCAAAAUUCUGAUAAGGUUAAUAAAACUUCCAAUCAUGUUAGUGUCACUAUUGGUCACGGCCACCAUUCAAAGAGGUCAAAAGUGGAUCCGAGAAAGAAGCCAAAGCAUCGAAAAUUUUCAGGUGCAUCAUGUGAGAUGAAGUUCUUGAACUCUACCGCACAAAUUAUUGAACCUUUAGUAAGUAAAAAAUUUGUUAGAUUCACUUUGCAAUACACCGAGACAGAGGAAGAGCCAAGCAAUCAAGAAAAAUGGGUGCCUAGAUUUUCAGGGCAUCAGACUUUGCAAGAACGAGAGACAUCAUUUUAUGCGCAGGAUCAAAAGAUAAAUUGUGGCUUUGUUAGAGGUCCUAAAAGUUUUUCAAGUACAGGUUUUGAUCUGACAGAAGAUGAUUCCAGCUAUAUCAGUAGAUGCCACAUUGCUGUGGUCUCCUGUAUAUUUGGGAAUUCAGAUCACCUGAGAUCACCUACUGGGAAAGCGGUUACUCGUUUUUCAAGGAAAAAUGUCUGCUUUGUUAUGUUUAUGGAUGAAGUUACCUUGGAGACUCUUUCAUCAGAAGGUCAAACAGUUGAUAGAAUGGGUUUUAUUGGCCUAUGGAAGAUUGUUGUGGUAAAAAAUUUACCAUACACUGAUAUGAGAAGAGUUGGGAAAAUACCAAAAUUAUUGCCACAUCGAAUUUUUCCUUCUGCAAGGUAUUCAAUCUGGUUGGAUAGCAAGCUACGACUUCAAUAUGACCCUGUGCUCAUUUUGGAAUACUUCUUGUGGCGAAGAGGUUAUGAAUUUGCAAUUUCGAACCACUACGACAGACAUUGUGUAUGGGAAGAGGUGGCUCAGAAUAAGAGAUUAAACAAGUACAACCAUAGUAUCAUAGAUCAACAAUUUGCAUUUUACCAGGCUGAUGGAUUGAAGAGGUUUAAUGCAUCAGACACAAACAAGCUUCUUCCCAGCAAUGUGCCUGAAGGAUCUUUCAUCAUUAGGGCCCACACUCCAAUGUCUAAUCUGUUCUCUUGUCUUUGGUUCAAUGAGGUCGACAGAUUUACUCCCCGAGACCAACUUAGUUUUGCAUAUACAUACCAAAAAUUAAGAAGGAUGAAUCCUGGAAAACCUUUUUAUCUUAAUAUGUUUAAGGACUGUGAGAGAAGAAAAAUAGCCAAGUUGUUUCGUCACAGGUCAGAUGAGAAGCGAACUAUUCAGAGAAAUGCAAUGCAGUAACGUGUUCUAUAUUUUUAUGUUUGCUGGUUUUGACAUAUUACACUUGGCCAUACACCUCUUGAGUGCUUAGUGAAUAUAUACAUAUAUCCGUGGUCCAACAGUGAUGGACUCACUGCCAGUCAAUAUGCUCCCUACAUUAAAUUUUGUUAUUCAGAUUUAUGGAUUUUUUAGCAUCUUAUAUCGGCAAACACAGAGUCGACGAUACAGUUGCUACUUAACAUCUCCUUGGAGGAGGGCAGGGAGCUGCACUAGUGUUUUAGUAAUGCCAAUUUUACCUCCUAUUCAUUUGGAGAGUUCAAACAUCUCCGACCCUCCUUCAGGGCCAUAGAGUUCUUCAGCAAAUCAACACUGUUUUCAAUCUUCUCGUCUGCAGCCGAGAAGCUGAGCUCUAAGAUCCAUUGCAGAUUCCUUUCCUUAUCGACCAGAACGGAUGUCAUACUCAAUGUCUUCAAUCCCCUUGUUGAAGCUAGAAUUCAGCUAAUAUAACCUCAAGGUCAGUUUCAUACAAAAGUUUAUCUCCUCCACUUGAAUUAAGACUGGACAGACUUGUGAGUACAGAAAGAAUAAACCUAUGAAUAAAUUUGUAAUGUGGAUUUUCCCUUGCUUUUGGUCUUUGAAAUGUUAUCCGUGAACAAGCUCAUCUCUUUCCA